UUUUGGAAUAUAACAGUAAUCCAUAUCUUUUUCUAAUAUUUUCUUCAUUAUGUUUGUAGGAUGAUGUGAGAUUUACAAUUUGGAGUUGUGGUGAAAAAAAUGAAAUACAAAUGAAUGAAGUCAAGAAAAAUGCCGAAUCACCCGUCCAUACAUAAAAAGUUUACAAAAAUCACAAAAUAACACGGAGAACCACCAAAAUAGUGGUGGCUAU
This 211-nucleotide long non-coding RNA is filed under the name Lathyrus oleraceus (garden pea). RNAcentral describes it as "Pisum sativum (pea) long non-coding RNA (PSAT_LNC001511)". Lineage: Eukaryota; Viridiplantae; Streptophyta; Magnoliopsida; Fabales; Fabaceae. The record is from RNAcentral.